CCUACGGGGGGCAGCAGUGGGGGAUAUUGCACAAUGGGGGAAACCCUGAUGCAGCGACGCCGCGUGGGUGAAGAAGCGCCUCGGCGCGUAAAGCCCUGUCAGCAGGGAGGAAAAUGACGGUACCUGAAGAAGAAGCCCCGGCUAACUACGUGACAGCAGCCGCGGUAAUACGUAGGGGGCAAGCGUUAUCCGGAUUUACUGGGUGUAAAGGGGGCGCAGACGGCGAUGCAAGCCAGGAGUGAAAGCCCGGGGCCCAACCCCGGGACUGCACUUGGAACUGCGUGGCUAGAGUGCAGGAGGGGCAGGCGGAAUGCCUGGUGUAGCGGUGAAAUGCGUAGAUAUCAGGAGGAACACCGGUGGCGAAGGCGACCUGCUGGACUGCAACUGACGUUGAGGCCCGAAAGCGUGGGGAGCAAACAGGAUUAGAUACCCUUGUAGUC
This 440-nucleotide ribosomal RNA is filed under the name uncultured bacterium. Its description in RNAcentral is "partial 16S ribosomal RNA". It matches the Rfam family "Bacterial small subunit ribosomal RNA", at positions 338 to 795 of the family's 1533-position model. The record is from RNAcentral.